Molecule: unclassified non-coding RNA, 329 nt
Filed under: soil metagenome
Description: partial contains 5.8S ribosomal RNA, internal transcribed spacer 2, and large subunit ribosomal RNA
Rfam family: 5.8S ribosomal RNA (bases 1-120)
Source: RNAcentral
GAUGAAGAACGCAGCGAAAUGCGAUAAGUAGUGUGAAUUGCAGAAUUCAGUGAAUCAUCGAAUCUUUGAACGCACAUUGCGCCCCUUGGUAUCCCGAGGGGCAUGCCUGUUCGAGCGUCAUUUCACCGCUCAAGCCUGGCUUGGUGUUGGGCGACGUCCUCUUUGGGGACGCGCCUCGAAACGCUCGGCGGCGUGGCACCGGCUUUAAGCGUAGCAGAAUCUUUCGCUUUGGAAGUCGGGGCCCCGUCUGCCGGAAGACCUGCUCGCAAGGUUGACCUCGGAUCAGGCAGGGAUACCCGCUGAACUUAAGCAUAUCAAUAAGCGGAGGA